GGAUGCGAUCAUACCAGCACUAAAGCAUCGGAUCCCAUCGGAACACCGAAGUUAAGCAUGCUUGGGCGAGAGUAGUACUAGGAUGGGUGACCUCCUGGGAAGUCCUUGUGUUGCAUUCC
Molecule: ribosomal RNA, 119 nt
Filed under: Triticum aestivum (bread wheat)
Lineage: Eukaryota; Viridiplantae; Streptophyta; Magnoliopsida; Poales; Poaceae
Source: RNAcentral